RNAcentral lists this long non-coding RNA (421 nucleotides) under Equus asinus (donkey). Its description in RNAcentral is "lncRNA (ENSEASG00005037584.1)". The record is from RNAcentral. Lineage: Eukaryota; Metazoa; Chordata; Mammalia; Perissodactyla; Equidae.
GAGAUUCAGAGCACACUAGAGCAAUCGCUCUGAUGGCAGGAGGAGGGCGCUUCUGCUGCUACAGGAAGGAAGGAGGAGAGAAUGGGUGUGGAUGCUGGAUGCCUGUUCCUGGUUCGGCACAGUGCGGGCUCAGACAACGCUGUUCACAAUUGGACUGUUUAUUUGCAAUAAGGGAGAGACGUGGCCUCAUAAACCACAGAAACUGAGCAACACUGCCCCAAAAGUUCUCUGCCUCUGCCGUCGUCCCUCCCCACCCACGCACGCACCACCACCUCCCUGGAGAAGGGGGACCGGCUCCGUUUCCGUCCUGAGAGCCGAACGUCAGUGCCCAGCGUUUACACAGCAAGGAACAGCCCCUGUACUCGGGCAGGGGGCCGGCUCCUCUUACGACUGUGUCUUCCACUCAUUCAGCUCUGAGCCC